Molecule: unclassified non-coding RNA, 625 nt
Filed under: Hevea brasiliensis (rubber tree)
Lineage: Eukaryota; Viridiplantae; Streptophyta; Magnoliopsida; Malpighiales; Euphorbiaceae
Source: RNAcentral
AAAUGUUAGCAAGUGGAAAAUGGAGAAUUGUGAGUUUAAUUUUGACUUGAAGAUUUUAGAUUUGGGUGGAUUUGACAUGAUAUUGGGAAUUAAUUGGUUGAAAAAGCACAAUCCAGUAUUAUUUAAUUAUGAGGCAUCAACAAUCACUAUUACUAUUGAAGGGAAAUCAGUAGUUUUACAUGGAAUUGGAGAAGGUAUGUUGUAGUAUGGGUUGUGGCAUUCUGGCGAUCUCUUGAACAAAGGUGGUGAGGAUUUUCAGACACCUCUACUUCGUAUUAUGGAUUCUAAACAUUCUUAAUUAUCCGCUACUUCCAAUUUUGUGUUGGAUGGGAGAUUGCAGCAAUUACUUCAGAAGUAUAAAGGCAUUUUUUAAGAGCCCCACGGAUUACCACUUUUUAGGAGCCACAAUCGUGCUAUUCCUUUGCAGCAUGAUGCAUAGCCCAUUAAUAUUAGGCCCUAUAGAUACCCCAUUAUUAGAAGGCGGAGAUUGAAAAAUUAGUAGUAGAUAUGCUUUCUUCUACAUAAUUCAACUUAGCACCAGCCCAUAUUCUUCUCCUAUCCUUUUUGUUUAAAAAGAAAGAUGGGAUAUGAAGGUUUGGCAUUGACUAUAGGAGACUUAAUGACU